Molecule: transfer RNA, 75 nt
Filed under: Pseudolabrys sp. Root1462
Lineage: Bacteria; Pseudomonadati; Pseudomonadota; Alphaproteobacteria; Hyphomicrobiales; Xanthobacteraceae
Also listed under: 3 other names
Description: tRNA-Val
Rfam family: tRNA
About the family: Transfer RNA (tRNA) molecules are approximately 80 nucleotides in length. Their secondary structure includes four short double-helical elements and three loops (D, anti-codon, and T loops). Further hydrogen bonds mediate the characteristic L-shaped molecular structure. tRNAs have two regions of fundamental functional importance: the anti-codon, which is responsible for specific mRNA codon recognition, and the 3' end, to which the tRNAs corresponding amino acid is attached (by aminoacyl-tRNA synthetases). tRNAs cope with the degeneracy of the genetic code in two manners: having more than one tRNA (with a specific anti-codon) for a particular amino acid; and 'wobble' base-pairing, i.e. permitting non-standard base-pairing at the 3rd anti-codon position.
Source: RNAcentral
GGGCAGUUAGCUCAGCGGUAGAGCAUCCCGUUUACACCGGGACGGUCGGGAGUUCGAUCCUCUCACUGCCCACCA